AUUUUACCUUUAAACUUCUAUUUGGCCCAUUCCAGCAGUGGUCGCCGUUUGUAAAUUGCAUAGUUCUGUAGGAAUCCUCAAAUUUAUCCCAGUUCCCCAAACGAGUUGUGCUGUAGCCCUCAACUUGGGUAGCUUCUUUGAAAGGGCAAAUCUUGUAUGUGUACUUGUUCUCCUUGCUCUCAAAACAUUGUCCAUGGAAUGAAUAGAAUUCCUUCUCUGGUCCAAAAUCAUGUUUCAACUUUUGCUUCAAGCUGGAUAGCCUUGAUUCGACUUUUGUCAACUUAGCACUUGCCUCAUCGUACUCUUUGCGUAUCCGGUCAGCAUCAGAUAUGUUCACUGGAGUUUGGAACAAAUUGACAGACCGAAAAAUUCUCUUUACAGUUUGUUGUAUCUUCUCCGUCCAGGAAGGACUAGUUGUGGUGGUAGUAUCUGCAAAAUCAGAAUCGUCAUCAGACUCGGACUUAUAUGAAGAACUUGAAUCAUGGUCCUCUCCAACAGAAUCUUCAACGUGUUCCUCAUUGUCAUCAUCGUCAUACUUGUGUUCAUCAUCGUCAUCAUACUUGCGGUCAUCAGCAUCAGAAUCAUAUCCAUGAUACUCCUCUUCAUGGGUAUCAGAUGGCACCUCAUCAUGGUUAUCAUGGUUAUCAUGGUUACUAUCUGUACCAGCCCCAACUGACACAGUUUCCUGUUCACUCUUUUUUCCUAACCAACGAGAACCAAUAACACGUCCUAACUCUUCCUUUGACAGUGACUCAAUAUUUUCAGCAGCAUCUUUCUCCUCAUUUCUGCUACUAACAUCAGCUUUAUUGUUGUUGGUGGACGACUCCUCUUUUACCUCAGGAUGCUGAGAAGAAUCCUCGGGCGCCUGCUCUACCUCAUCAACCGGAAACUCAUCCUUCACGGAAUGGUCAUCGUGUUGUUCUUCAUCCGCAGCUUUGUCAUGGCCUUCUACGACAUCCUUUAAGGGAGGAUAGUCUUCCAGGAGGCCAAUUUUAUCGUGGAUGUCACUCUUCACAGCUUCUUCGUGAACUUCAGUUUUCUCCUCAAGUUUGCUUGCCUCAAGCUUAGCAUCAUCAGCUUCCUUUCGUUCCUUCUCUUCCUUCUCUCUCUUUAACCGUUCUUCCUCCUCAACCUUCUCUAUUUGUUCUUUUUUGUCCUGAAGCUGCUCAACCCUCCCUUUAAGUAUCUUCUGCUCAUUUUUCAGCUUAGAGACUUCAGUUUCCUCUUUUGCUAUUGCAAGUUUAGCUUCUUCGAUCUCCUUCUUCCUUAUAGUUAUACCUUCCUGAAAUGUUGCAAUUUUUUUCUUCAAUUUAUCUCUAGCUACUCUGCCGACCUCCCAACAUGUAUUUGGGCACUUAACUUUACCAUCAUGCUCAUCACUCCCAUCGCAACAAUCACAAAUGCCAUCAUUCACCCUAGAUGAGUAUAUGAAGAGAGGAGCAUGCCCUGCAUUUUUGCAAUAAAACUUCCCGCUCGGACAUGCCGAAGUUCCUGGCUCAUCAGACCCAUCUGGACAGUCACAAAAAUCAUCAUUGAGCUGAGCCUUGGUGAAUUUCUUCGACCCAUCUUUACAAUUUAUAGCACCAGAUGAUAAACCCUUGUAAUAAUUCUCAUCUUCCGGGGCAAUUCCGAGGUUGACUAAAGAAGGAAGAGACACAGAUCUAUCGAUUGAAGAUAUGCAGAAGAUACAAGAGAGUAAAAAAACGAAUUGAAAUCGUAAUUCCAUUUUCCUUCACCAAAAUACGCAAUUCGAAAACUAAAUCUAAAUCAGCAUUAAUUUUCAAUACACAGCAAAAAUUGUAUGAAUCGAACGAGAUUUGCAGUGGCUAACUGAUUGUAUAGUGAGAAGACUAUGAAGCUUUGGGCCAAUGAAGAGUAUUUCUUAG
RNAcentral lists this unclassified non-coding RNA (1886 nucleotides) under Hevea brasiliensis (rubber tree). Lineage: Eukaryota; Viridiplantae; Streptophyta; Magnoliopsida; Malpighiales; Euphorbiaceae. The record is from RNAcentral.